GCCUACGGCCAUACCAGUCUGAAAGUGCCUGAUCUCAGAAGUCAUGCAGACUUGGGCUUGCUUAGUACUUGUAUGGGAGACCAACUAGGUAAACCUCAGGUGCCGUAAGAU
Molecule: ribosomal RNA, 111 nt
Filed under: Pelobates cultripes (western spadefoot toad)
Lineage: Eukaryota; Metazoa; Chordata; Amphibia; Anura; Pelobatidae
Source: RNAcentral